CCUACGGGAGGCAGCAGUGGGGAAUAUUGGACAAUGGGGGCAACCCUGAUCCAGCCAUGCCGCGUGUGUGAAGAAGGCCCUCGGGUUGUAAAGCACUUUCAGUGAGGAAGAACGCCUGGUGGUUAAUACCCAUCAGGAAAGACAUCACUCACAGAAGAAGCACCGGCUAACUCCGUGUCAGCAGCCGCGGUAAUACGGAGGGUGCGAGCGUUAAUCGGAAUUACUGGGCGUAAAGCGCGCGUAGGUGGCUUGAUAAGCCGGUUGUGAAAGCCCCGGGCUCAACCUGGGAACGGCAUCCGGAACUGUCAAGCUAGAGUGCAGGAGAGGAAGGUAGAAUUCCCGGUGUAGCGGUGAAAUGCGUAGAGAUCGGGAGGAAUACCAGUGGCGAAGGCGGCCUUCUGGACUGACACUGACACUGAGGUGCGAAAGCGUGGGUAGCAAACAGGAUUAGAUACCCCAGUAGUC
RNAcentral lists this ribosomal RNA (465 nucleotides) under Vreelandella stevensii. Its description in RNAcentral is "partial 16S ribosomal RNA". It matches the Rfam family "Bacterial small subunit ribosomal RNA", at positions 338 to 795 of the family's 1533-position model. The record is from RNAcentral. Lineage: Bacteria; Pseudomonadati; Pseudomonadota; Gammaproteobacteria; Oceanospirillales; Halomonadaceae.